RNAcentral lists this transfer RNA (75 nucleotides) under Halomonas sp. THAF12. Its description in RNAcentral is "tRNA-Sec". The record is from RNAcentral. Lineage: Bacteria; Pseudomonadati; Pseudomonadota; Gammaproteobacteria; Oceanospirillales; Halomonadaceae.
CCUCGGGGUCGACGUCGGCGGCCCGGGGCGCUUCAGGCGCCUCGACGGGCGCGGGUUCGGCGUCUGCCGCGGGGG